This 274-nucleotide ribosomal RNA is filed under the name uncultured bacterium. RNAcentral describes it as "partial 16S ribosomal RNA". It matches the Rfam family "Bacterial small subunit ribosomal RNA", at positions 523 to 796 of the family's 1533-position model. The record is from RNAcentral.
AUACGGAGGGUGCAAGCGUUAAUCGGAAUUACUGGGCGUAAAGCGUACGUAGGCGGUUCGUUAAGUUAGAUGUGAAAGCCCCGGGCUUAACCUGGGAACUGCAUUUAAAACUGGCGAACUAGAGUUGAGUAGAGGGGAGUGGAAUUUCAGGUGUAGCGGUGAAAUGCGUAGAGAUUUGAAGGAACACCAGUGGCGAAGGCGACUCCCUGGACUCGAACUGACGCUGAGGUACGAAAGCGUGGGUAGCAAACGGGAUUAGAAACCCUAGUAGUCC